This 467-nucleotide ribosomal RNA is filed under the name uncultured bacterium. RNAcentral describes it as "partial 16S ribosomal RNA". It matches the Rfam family "Bacterial small subunit ribosomal RNA", at positions 28 to 506 of the family's 1533-position model. The record is from RNAcentral.
GACGAACGCUGGCGGCGUGCUUAACACAUGCAAGUCGAACGGAAAGGCCCUGCUUUUGUGGGGUGCUCGAGUGGCGAACGGGUGAGUAACACGUGAGUAACCUGCCCUUGACUUUGGGAUAACUUCAGGAAACUGGGGCUAAUACCGGAUAGGAGCUCCUGCUGCAUGGUGGGGGUUGGAAAGUUUCGGCGGUUGGGGAUGGACUCGCGGCUUAUCAGCUUGUUGGUGGGGUAGUGGCUUACCAAGGCUUUGACGGGUAGCCGGCCUGAGAGGGUGACCGGCCACAUUGGGACUGAGAUACGGCCCAGACCCCUACGGGAGGCAGCAGUGGGGAAUAUUGCACAAUGGGCGGAAGCCUGAUGCAGCAACGCCGCGUGCGGGAUGACGGCCUUCGGGUUGUAAACCGCUUUCGCCUGUGACGAAGCGUGAGUGACGGGAAUGGGGAAAGAAACACCGGCUAACUACGG